This 507-nucleotide ribosomal RNA is filed under the name uncultured bacterium. RNAcentral's name for it is "partial 16S ribosomal RNA". It matches the Rfam family "Bacterial small subunit ribosomal RNA", at positions 28 to 507 of the family's 1533-position model. The record is from RNAcentral.
GGCGAACGCUGGCGGCGUGCCUAAUACAUGCAAGUCGAACGCAUUUUCUUUCACCGUAGCUUGCUACACCGAAAGAAAAUGAGUGGCGAACGGGUGAGUAACACGUGGGUAACCUGCCCAUCAGCGGGGGAUAACACUUGGAAACAGGUGCUAAUACCGCAUAAUUCCAUUUACCGCAUGGUAAAUGGAUGAAAGGCGCUUUUGCGUCACUGAUGGAUGGACCCGCGGUGCAUUAGCUAGUUGGUGGGGUAACGGCCUACCAAGGCUGCGAUGCAUAGCCGACCUGAGAGGGUGAUCGGCCACACUGGGACUGAGACACGGCCCAGACUCCUACGGGAGGCAGCAGUAGGGAAUCUUCGGCAAUGGACGCAAGUCUGACCGAGCAACGCCGCGUGAGUGAAGAAGGUUUUCGGAUCGUAAAACUCUGUUGUUAGAGAAGAACAAGGAUGAGAGUGGAAAGUUCAUCCCUUGACGGUAUCUAACCAGAAAGCCACGGUUAACUACGUG